This is a long non-coding RNA of Carya illinoinensis, 1357 nucleotides long. RefSeq lists it as uncharacterized. The record is from RefSeq and is a predicted model, not a curated record. Lineage: Eukaryota; Viridiplantae; Streptophyta; Magnoliopsida; Fagales; Juglandaceae. The transcript is spliced from 3 exons.
GCAGUUUUGAAAAAGAAAACGGAAGAACAAUAUUUCUCUUAGAUUGCCUCCGAGAAGAGGCCCACCAAGCUGGGUACCAAAGAAGUUUGGCCGCGUUUCUUUGAGCAUACGUUUUCUUGUAGAGCUGUCAAGAUUCAGAAGUCUGGGCAUCGCCGUCGCCCCUCCUCUACUCUGGCCGUCGCCGUUGCACAUCCAAUGCCCAGCACCCCGCAUCGCCCAUUUGUGCCCAGCACCCGCCGUCACGCCUCCUCUGCUCUGGGUCCCACGUCGCCGUUGAACAUCCUCGGCCCAGCACCCUGCGUCGUCGUCUCUUAUCCUCUGCAAGACAAACAACUUUGCAAGAAUUAGGUAAGUUUCCAUCAGGUAAUUUUCUGCAUCGCCCAUACUUGGUGUAUUCAUCCCAUUCGUUGCAACUUUUUGACUUUGGAGGUAGAUUGGUUGUUGUUCAUAGAGCUUUUGCAAAUUAUGGAAAAAGGAAAAGCCAUUAUCUCAAACUUAAAGAUAAUAAAAUGUCGAUUGAUUUGAAAAAUAAUCAUUGUCAAAGUUGAUUCCUUUGAUUUGCUUAUGGGAUUUUUGCCUACUGUAGACUGUAGUUAAAGAGCUUCUUUAUGCAUUAUGCGGUCAAAAUUGCCUUUUCGCUAUGCUUUGUAAUAUUUCAUCAAAGAUAUGAUUGGCAAGUGAGAAUCCAGUUUUCAACCAUUUCAUGGCAAGGAUUUCAUCAAGUUAAAUCCUAUGGAUGCAAGAAAUUAAACUAUAUCACCCAAUCAAUGCCCUGACAGUCUCAUAUUUGCGGGAAUUUUGCUUUCUGAUUCUCGAUAAAUAAAUACCGUAGAAAGAAAAAUCACGAAUCUUUUGGAUUUAGAUUCGAUUUUUGUUUUCUUACUACCAUUUUAGAAUCUAGGGUUGCGUCCGUUGGUUUUCUUGGAAUCAUGUCUAACUACUGAGUUUUGCUUUGAUUUUUGGUGAUUAUGGUGAUGAUAAAGAGCUUGAUCGCUGCUUAGAUCAGUCACUUCCUUGCUUGCAUGGGAUUGGUGUAAUGAUGGCGUUCUUGUCAGUCCAAGCCACUUAUAUGGAGAUGCCUUUGGUUCUGAUUUUCCUCACGUCCCUUUUCCAAAUUUUACAUUAUUCUAUCUGCAGUGGAUAGCGUUGUUAAUAUAGGCUACGAUGAGAUGCAUGGUGUUUAUGGCAGAGUUGCAUCCAUAGGAUUGUUAAAGGAUUCACUGAAGAUGUUACUCUUUUUGCAAAAAUUUUGAUUGGAUCUCAUAAUGUUCAUUCAUGUUAUGUAUUUAGAAAACUCAUGUAUUUGUAUAACUGGAAUGAUUUUAAGUUAUGGGAAUCUGUUCUUAUAUUUGCAUUA